This 533-nucleotide ribosomal RNA is filed under the name uncultured bacterium. RNAcentral's name for it is "bacterial SSU rRNA". It matches the Rfam family "Bacterial small subunit ribosomal RNA", at positions 51 to 570 of the family's 1533-position model. The record is from RNAcentral.
ACACAUGCAAGUCGAACGGGGAUGCCAUUUUCGAGGUGAUUAGUUUACUAAGAGCCAAGAUGUUGGCAUCUUAGUGGCGGACGGGUGAGUAACGCGUGGGUAACCUGCCUUAUACAGGGGGAUAACACUUAGAAAUAGGUGCUAAUACCGCAUAAGCGCACGGGGCUGCAUGGCCCAGUGUGAAAAACUCCGGUGGUAUAAGAUGGACCCGCGUCUGAUUAGCUUGUUGGCGGGGUAACGGCCCACCAAGGCGACGAUCAGUAGCCGGCCUGAGAGGGUGGACGGCCACAUUGGGACUGAGACACGGCCCAAACUCCUACGGGAGGCAGCAGUGGGGAAUAUUGGACAAUGGGGGGAACCCUGAUCCAGCGACGCCGCGUGAGUGAAGAAGUAUUUCGGUAUGUAAAGCUCUAUCAGCAGGGAAGAAAGAAAUGACGGUACCUGACUAAGAAGCCCCGGCUAACUACGUGCCAGCAGCCGCGGUAAUACGUAGGGGGCAAGCGUUAUCCGGAUUUACUGGGUGUAAAGGGAGC